CAGAAGGAGAAAAAAAAACUCCGGGGCUUGUUAUGGAGUUCGUGUGAAAGCAACACGGAUUUCCACCCUUCUUUACCAGUUAAACCAGUAUCUCUGGAUAGAGCACGCUCAAGUACAGCAACAGGUAGAGUCUCUGACCGCAAACUCCUCCGUGGCUCCUCUGAAAAUAAUCCCCCCGUGUCUCUCUCCGUUUAUCUCAAUUGAGUUUCCAGCCCUUUUGUUCGCUCUUCUUAUCACUUGGAAAAGGUGAACCCUCGUGUUAUUUUUAUUUUAAUCUUUGCUCUAAUUGUAGUUUUUACCCUUGUGGUCCCUGAUGGCUUCGCACAGUGAUACUCUGGUGGUGUUCUUUGGGGCAACAGCUGGUGCAAAUGGGGGUAAACUGGGUUCGGAUGAGAGGGAAAUAAUUCUCUUGGUGUGGCAAAUUGUGGAUCUACAUGAGAAAAAGGUUGGAAAGCUUCAUAAAUGUUUUGUAAAGCCUGACACUUUGGAGCUGACGGACCUGUGUAAAGAGGAGACGGGACUGGCUGUGGACAACCUCAUCAAUGCUGAGCCCCUGGACAAAGUCCUGCUACAGUUCCAGCAGACGGUGUCCUCAGAAGUUAAAUUCCUCGGCAGGAGCUCUUACACACUGUGUGUGAACAGUCCCAACGUCAUCCGACAGGCUCUUCAUCCUGAAGCCUCCAAAAAGAAUUUGGUACUCCCUGAAUGCUUCUUUACAUUUUCGGACGUGAGGAAGGAGUUUCUAAAAUGCUGUCCAAACGCCGGCCCCGUGCAGAAGCUCACGCUUGCCUCCAUGUUGGAAUAUGUGGGGCUUGCUGCAGUGUCGGAGCAGUCGUUUGGGGAGCGGGAGGUGAGCAGCAUGGUGCAGCUCGUACUCUGCAUCCUGGCUGAACCCCACAAUCACAAGUUCUCCUGUGCUGAGAUGGUGAAGUACAAGUUCGACUCCGGCACGUGCAGUAAGACGGAGCCGGUGGACAGUGAGACUGUGAUCAGAGCGCGGGGGCUUCCAUGGCAAUCCUCAGACCAAGACAUCGCUCGCUUCUUUAAAGGACUCAAUAUUGCCAAAGGUGGCGUGGCCCUGUGUCUCAACGCUCAGGGCCGCAGGAACGGCGAAGCUUUAGUUCGCUUCAUCAACUCGGAGCACAGAGACUUGGCUCUGGAGCGCCACAAACAUCACAUGGGCAGCCGCUACAUAGAGGUCUACAAGGCCACAGGAGAGGAAUUCCUUAAGAUUGCAGGAGGCACUUCGAACGAGGUGGCCCAGUUCCUGUCCAAGGAGAACCAGGUGAUUAUCCGCAUGCGGGGGCUGCCGUUCACGGCCACGUCCCAAGAGGUGCUGUCCUUCCUCGGUCCCGAGAGCCCGGUGACGGACGGUUCUGAGGGUCUGCUCUUCGUCAAAUACCCCGACGGACGGCCCACCGGCGACGCCUUCGUGCUCUUCUCCUGUGAAGAGUACGCACAGAACGCCCUGAAGAAGCACAAACAGAUCCUGGGGAAGCGUUACAUCGAGCUGUUUCGCAGCACGGCGGCCGAAGUGCAACAGGUCCUGAACCGGUACAUGUCUGCCCCCCUGAUCUCCACCCUGCCCUCCUCCCCCAUCAUGCCCAUGCCGGUCCUUUCCACGCCGCCCUUCCUUCCGGCGGCCAGCAGCACUCGGGACUGCAUCCGCCUGCGCGGUUUGCCCUACACCGCCGGCAUCGAAGACAUCCUGGAAUUCAUGGCCGAGCACACCGUCGACAUCAAGCCUCACGGAGUCCACAUGGUCCUCAACCAGCAGGGCCGGCCGUCCGGCGACGCCUUCAUCCAGAUGAAGUCACCUGACAAAGCGUUCAUGGUGGCCCAGAAGUGCCAUAAGAAGACGAUGAAGGAUCGAUACAUCGAGGUCUUCCAGUGCUCCACGGAGGAGAUGAGCAUCGUCCUGAUGGGAGGAACGCUGAACCGCAGCGGCCUCUCUCCUCCACCCUGCAAACUUCCCUGCCUUUCUCCCCCCACGGCCUAUGCUGCUUUCCCCACCCCGCCCGCCAUUCUGCCCGAGGCGGCCCUCUACCAGCCCCCCCUGCUGGCUGCUCCCAGACCUCAGGCCGCUGCGCACACCCCCGCUCACACCCUGGCCUACUACCCCCCUCAGCCCCACCUGUAUAUGAACAUGAACAUGAACUACACCGCUUACUAUCCGAGCCCUCCAGUCUCUCCUUCCACAGUGGGCUACUUCGCAGCUCCGUCGGGGGCGAUGGCGGCAGCAAUGGCCGCUCAGCCUCACCACGCUGCAGCGGCUGCCUCUCCUGUCCUGCCCCAGCCAGGUGCCCUGGUUCGAAUGCAGGGUCUGCCGUACAAUACGGGAAUCAAAGACAUCCUCAGCUUCUUCCAGGGAUACCAGUCCAAGCUAGGUGGAGUCCCCUGAAGCAGUACGCCCCUGACGAGUACAGCGGCAUGGUUCAGAUGAGCGAACAGGCCAGGAGUCUGAUUCAGCCCAAAGAAUGGCUCUGUCUUUAGGGAGUCCCGCCAAGCUCCAGCCAGACACCGUUUUCAUCCUGUAUAACUUCAGCGGGCAGUGCAGCGGCGAGGCCUUGAUCACCUUCCCUAGCGAGGAGCUCGCCAGGCAGGCCGUCGCCGAGCGCUCCAACCGCCUCUUCUACGGCCAGCAGGUUCACCUGGUCCUCUGUAACUGACCCUCGACCCGCCCCUCCCCGCCCGCAGCAGCCCCCCCUACAGCUCCAGAGUCCAGCGCCAUGAAAACACCCUCCACGAUCCGCUCUUGCUGACGCGCACGCCGCCUGUCCCGACACUCCUGAAGCCGCUUUGGGAGUUUGGUCGUCCACUCAGGAACCAGCUGAGGCCCUUGGUGGACGUUACAUGUAGCAUUUCUGUGUAUUUGCGGCAGCUGCAGCAACUGGUUUGUGGAGCCCGGACCCCCCCCAACAUGCGAGUACGUUUAAACCCCCUCCGUCAGCCCAUCCAUCCCACAGCGGAGCGUACAGACGUUCACCCCGAGAAACCCCGGACUGGACAAACCACUUCCUCACAAUCUUUUGCUUUAUUUUUGUACAUUUUCGCUCUUUACCAUGACGAGAUCUCGACUCUUGUGUUGAUGAACGGUUGUGUUAUAUCUACGUAUGUGUGUAUGUGUGUGUGCUGGCUCAGUGCGAUGUUGUCGAGAGAGAAUAAGCCAUAAAGACUACUGAAACGGAGUACACCGGUACUCUGGACACUGUCCCGAAUGAACAUGAAGUCUGUUUGUGCUUCAGGGAUGACGAGCAGCUGUUCCACUAGACCACAGCUGAGAACCAGCUAAACUCUAACUUACUUUUUCUUCUGUACAAAGCAUUUAUUUGACAUUUGUCAUGGUAUUUCCACUUUUUUUUUUUUUUUUUUUCAAGCACUACACAUUUUUUUUCCCGAUCAAAGACUUGGGGAACAAAGCCAAAUUAAUUCUAUUUUUAUUAAUAAAUAAUAUCUUUGUUUCUAUAAACUGAGGUCUAGAUGUUGAAGGUCGAAUGACCGAGACGCUUCUCAUAUUGAUGGAUUGUAGCUUCUGUGUCUUUUCUGUUGUCGUUUCCAGACUUGUCCGCCAGUCUGUGCUUUCGUUCCUGCCUCCAGAGUACUGCGUUAAAGCUGCAUGACUUUCCUUCCUGCGACAGGCCUACAUUACCCAGAGUGCAAUACUGGCAGGGAUGAGGCCAGUGGUCAGCCUCUGGCGGCAGAGGAUGUAUUUUCUUUUGCGCGCAAGUUUGACACUUGCAUGAGUUUAGAUCUGUGUAAAGACUGUAAACAGUAAAAAGAAAAAAAAGAAAAAUAAACAUGUUGAAGAUCUG
Salarias fasciatus (jewelled blenny) is the source of this 3812-nucleotide RNA transcript. It is a transcript of the gene named epithelial splicing regulatory protein 2, with no coding region annotated. The transcript has 17 exons. The record is from RefSeq and is a predicted model, not a curated record. Lineage: Eukaryota; Metazoa; Chordata; Actinopteri; Blenniiformes; Blenniidae.